UCAGUAACGGCGAGUGAAGCGGUAACAGCUCAAAUUUGAAAGCUGCCAACAGGCCGCGUUGUAAUUUGUAGAAGAUGCUUUGGGGGUAGGCCUAGUCUAAGUUCCUUGGAACAGGACGUCAUAGAGGGUGAGAAUCCCGUAUGUGAUUAGUGCCUGCUCCCGUGUAAAGCUCUUUCGACGAGUCGAGUUGUUUGGGAAUGCAGCUCAAAAUGGGUGGUAUAUUUCAUCUAAAGCUAAAUAUUGGCCAGAGACCGAUAGCGCACAAGUAGAGUGAUCGAAAGAUGAAAAGCACUUUGGAAAGAGAGUUAAACAGUACGUGAAAUUGUUGAAAGGGAAGCGCUUGCAACCAGACUUGCAGGCGGUCGAUCAUCCAAGGUUCUCCCCGGUGCACUCGAUCGUCUUCAGGCCAGCAUCGGUUUUGGUGGCGGGAUAAAGGCUCUAGGAAUGUGGCUCUUCGGAGUGUUAUAGCCUAGGGUGCAAUGCCGCCUACCGGGACCGAGGACCGCGCUUCGGCUAGGAUGCUGGCGUAAUGGUUGUAAGCGGCCCGUCUUGAAACACGGACCAAGGAGUCUAACAUCUAUGCGAGUGUUUGGGUGUCAAACCCAUACGCGUAAUGAAAGUGAACGGAGGUGAGAGCCCUUUAGGGCGCAUCAUCGACCGAUCCUGAUGUCUUCGGAUGGAUU
RNAcentral lists this ribosomal RNA (683 nucleotides) under Leotiomycetes sp. RNAcentral's name for it is "partial large subunit ribosomal RNA". It matches the Rfam family "Eukaryotic large subunit ribosomal RNA", at positions 80 to 790 of the family's 3401-position model. The record is from RNAcentral. Lineage: Eukaryota; Fungi; Ascomycota; Leotiomycetes.